UGGGGAAUCUUCCGCAAUGGACGAAAGUCUGACGGAGCAACGCCGCGUGAGUGAUGACGGCCUUCGGGUUGUAAAGCUCUGUUAAUCGGGACGAAAGGCCUUCUUGCGAAUGGUUAGAAGGAUUGACGGUACCGGAAUAGAAAGCCACGGCUAACUACGUGCCAGCAGCCGCGGUAAUACGUAGGUGGCAAGCGUUGUCCGGAAUUAUUGGGCGUAAAGCGCGCGCAGGCGGAUUGGUCAGUCUGUCUUAAAAGUUCGGGGCUUAACCCCGUGAUGGGAUGGAAACUGCCAAUCUAGAGUAUCGGAGAGGAAAGUGGAAUUCCUAGUGUAGCGGUGAAAUGCGUAGAUAUUAGGAAGAACACCAGUGGCGAAGGCGACUUUCUGGACGAAAACUGACGCUGAGGCGCGAAAGCCAGGGGAGCGAACGGGAUUAGAUACCCCGGUAGUCCUGGCCGUAAACGAUGGGUACUAGGUGUAGGAGGUAUCGACCCCUUCUGUGCCGGAGUUAACGCAAUAAGUACCCCGCCUGGGGGAGUACGACCGCAAGGUUG
Molecule: ribosomal RNA, 551 nt
Filed under: uncultured bacterium
Lineage: Bacteria
Description: bacterial SSU rRNA
Rfam family: Bacterial small subunit ribosomal RNA
Source: RNAcentral